Molecule: ribosomal RNA, 253 nt
Filed under: uncultured bacterium
Lineage: Bacteria
Description: partial 16S ribosomal RNA
Rfam family: Bacterial small subunit ribosomal RNA
Source: RNAcentral
UACGAGUGGUCCUAGCGUUAGUCGGAAUCACUGGGCUUAAAGGGUGCGUAGGCGGGCUUGUAAGUGUCUUGUGAAAUCCCCGGGCUCAACCUGGGAAUUGCAGGGCAUACUGCGAGUCUAGAGGAAUCUAGAGGCCGGCAGAACGAUAGGUGGAGCGGUGGAAUGCGUAGAUAUCUAUCGGAAUGCCAAAGGUGAAGACAGCCGGCUGGGGAUUUCCUGACGCUGAGGCACGAAAGCGUGGGGAUCAAACAGG